GAUGAACGCUAGCUACAGGCUUAACACAUGCAAGUCGCGGGGCAGCAUGGGGGUUGCUUGCAAUCCCCGAUGGCGACCGGCGCACGGGUGAGUAACGCGUAUCCAACCUGCCCUUCACCACGGGAUAACCCGGCGAAAGUCGGACUAAUACCGUAUGUUGUCCAUUGACGGCAUCCGAUUUGGACGAAAGGCUUGGCGGUGAGGGAUGGGGAUGCGUCCGAUUAGCCAGACGGCGGGGUAACGGCCCACCGUGGCUACGAUCGGUAGGGGUUCUGAGAGGAAGGUCCCCCACACUGGGACUGAGACACGGUCCAGACUCCUACGGGAGGCAGCAGUGAGGAAUAUUGGUCAAUGGGCGUAAGCCUGAACCAGCCAAGUAGCGUGCAGGAUGACGGCCCUAUGGGUUGUAAACUGCUUUUAUGCGGGGAUAAAGUGGCCCACGUGUGGGCUUUUGCAGGUACCGCAUGAAUAAGGACCGGCUAAUUCCGUG
This 490-nucleotide ribosomal RNA is filed under the name uncultured bacterium. Its description in RNAcentral is "partial 16S ribosomal RNA". It matches the Rfam family "Bacterial small subunit ribosomal RNA", at positions 28 to 507 of the family's 1533-position model. The record is from RNAcentral.